GGAGGGGUGGUGCCCUAAUGGUUAGCACGUUGGACUGCGGAUCGAGCGGUCUGGGUUCGAGCGCUAAGACUCUCGCA
Desmophyllum pertusum is the source of this 77-nucleotide non-coding RNA. NCBI's taxonomy places the organism in Eukaryota, Metazoa, Cnidaria, Anthozoa, Scleractinia, Caryophylliidae. The record is from the annotation of a GenBank genome assembly.